AUUGAACGCUGGCGGCAGGCCUAACACAUGCAAGUCGAACGGUAACAGGAAACAGCUUGCUGUUUCGCUGACGAGUGGCGGACGGGUGAGUAAUGUCUGGGAAACUGCCUGAUGGAGGGGGAUAACUACUGGAAACGGUAGCUAAUACCGCAUAACGUCGCAAGACCAAAGAGGGGGACCUUCGGGCCUCUUGCCAUCGGAUGUGCCCAGAUGGGAUUAGCUAGUAGGUGGGGUAACGGCUCACCUAGGCGACGAUCCCUAGCUGGUCUGAGGGGAUGACCAGCCACCCUGGAACUGAGACACGGGCCAGACUCCUACGGGAGGCAGCAGUGGGGAAUAUUGCACAAUGGGCGCAAGCCUGAUGCAGCCAUGCCGCGUGUAUGAAGAAGGCCUUCGGGUUGUAAAGUACUUUCAGCGGGGAGGAAGGGAGUAAAGUUAAUACCUUUGCUCAUUGACGUUACCCGCAGAAGAAGCACCGGCUAACUCCGUGCCAGCCGCCGCAGUAA
RNAcentral lists this ribosomal RNA (506 nucleotides) under uncultured bacterium. RNAcentral describes it as "partial 16S ribosomal RNA". It matches the Rfam family "Bacterial small subunit ribosomal RNA", at positions 30 to 523 of the family's 1533-position model. The record is from RNAcentral.